Molecule: unclassified non-coding RNA, 209 nt
Filed under: uncultured fungus
Lineage: Eukaryota; Fungi
Description: sequence contains ITS1
Source: RNAcentral
UUAGUUUAUUUAACUAUUUUCAGAUUUAACAUGGUUAAAAAGAAUUUGUUGUGGGCUACUGACGGGCACUGGCCAGAGGUCGAAGACCCCCGACGGUCCGGUCAAGGACGGGCCCGCCAAAGCAACAUGGUAGUUAUACAAAGGGUUGGAGAUCGGGCCUGGAAGACCCUAACUCAUUAAUGAUCCUUCCGCAGGUUCACCUACGGAAA